CCUACGGGAGACAGCAGUCGAGAAUCAUUCACAAUGGGGGAAACCCUGAUGGUGCGACGCCGCGUGGGGGAAUGAAGGUCUUCGGAUUGUAAACCCCUGUCAUGUGGGAGCAAAUUAAAAAGAUAGUACCACAAGAGGAAGAGACGGCUAACUCUGUGCCAGCAGCCGCGGUAAUACAGAGGUCUCAAGCGUUGUUCGGAAUCACUGGGCGUAAGGCGUGCGUAGGCUGUUUCGUAAGUCGUGUGUGAAAGGCGCGGGCUCAACCCGCGGACGGCACAUGAUACUGCGAGACUAGAGUAAUGGAGGGGGAACCGGAAUUCUCGGUGUAGCAGUGAAAUGCGUAGAUAUCGAGAGGAACACUCGUGGCGAAGGCGGGUUCCUGGACAUUAACUGACGCUGAGGCACGAAGGCCAGGGGAGCGAAAGGGAUUAGAUACCCGAGUAGUC
RNAcentral lists this ribosomal RNA (446 nucleotides) under uncultured bacterium. Its description in RNAcentral is "partial 16S ribosomal RNA". It matches the Rfam family "Bacterial small subunit ribosomal RNA", at positions 338 to 795 of the family's 1533-position model. The record is from RNAcentral.